RNAcentral lists this ribosomal RNA (449 nucleotides) under uncultured bacterium. RNAcentral's name for it is "partial 16S ribosomal RNA". It matches the Rfam family "Bacterial small subunit ribosomal RNA", at positions 29 to 523 of the family's 1533-position model. The record is from RNAcentral.
AGCGAACGCUGGCGGCAGGCCUAACACAUGCAAGUCGAACGAACUCUUCGGAGUUAGUGGCGGACGGGUGAGUAACACGUGGGAACGUGCCUUUAGGUUCGGAAUAACUCAGGGAAACUUGUGCUAAUACCGAAUGUGCCCUUCGGGGGAAAGAUUUAUCGCCUUUAGAGCGGCCCGUGUCUGAUUAGCUAGUUGGUGAGGUAAAGGCUCACCAAGGCGACGAUCAGUAGCUGGUCUGAGAGGAUGAUCAGCCACAUUGGGACUGAGACACGGCCCAAACUCCUACGGGAGGCAGCAGUGGGGAAUCUUGCGCAAUGGGCGAAAGCCUGACGCAGCCAUGCCGCGUGAAUGAUGAAGGUCUUAGGAUUGUAAAAUUCUUUCACCGGGGACGAUAAUGACGGUACCCGGAGAAGAAGCCCCGGCUAACUACGUGCCAGCCGCCGCAGUAA